ACCACUGUUUCACUCCUUCUUGUUAUAUUCAUUUUUAAGGCUGGCCAAAUAUCUAUGUAGGAGAAAAGAUUAAACAAAAUUCAUCGAGAGGUCCCGCAUUUGGUUCCCAGCACCUACAUCUCAUGACUCACAACAAUCUGUAACUGAAGUUCUUGGGGAUCGGAUGACUCUUCUAGCAUUCACAGGCACCCACAUGCAUGUGCUAUACAUGCUGAUGCUCAGAUAGACUUUGACAAGGAGACAUCUGGGCCUGCUGCAUGUCAUCAUAAACCACAUUUCUACUCCAAUUAUUUCACAUCAUAGACCAGCAUCACUCAGAAUUCAAAUGCCAUGAAGGAGAAGAGAAUACCGUAAUCAUCAGUGGUUGACCUGAUAUUGUGAAAUUCUGAGUUAUAUAAAGAUAAAUGCUAAAGUCAUA
Long non-coding RNA from Peromyscus leucopus (white-footed mouse), 418 nucleotides. RefSeq lists it as uncharacterized. The record is from RefSeq and is a predicted model, not a curated record. Lineage: Eukaryota; Metazoa; Chordata; Mammalia; Rodentia; Cricetidae. The transcript is spliced from 3 exons.